AGACACGGCCCAGACUCCUACGGGAGGCAGCAGUAGGGAAUCUUCCGCAAUGGACGAAAGUCUGACGGAGCAACGCCGCGUGAGUGAUGAAGGUUUUCGGAUCGUAAAGCUCUGUUGUUAGGGAAGAACAAGUGCGAGAGUAACUGCUCGCACCUUGACGGUACCUAACCAGAAAGCCACGGCUAACUACGUGCCAGCAGCCGCGGUAAUACGUAGGUGGCAAGCGUUGUCCGGAAUUAUUGGGCGUAAAGGGCUCGCAGGCGGUUUCUUAAGUCUGAUGUGAAAGCCCCCGGCUCAACCGGGGAGGGUCAUUGGAAACUGGGAAACUUGAGUGCAGAAGAGGAGAGUGGAAUUCCACGUGUAGCGGUGAAAUGCGUAGAGAUGUGGAGGAACACCAGUGGCGAAGGCGACUCUCUGGUCUGUAACUGACGCUGAGGAGCGAAAGCGUGGGGAGCGAACAGGAUUAGAUACCCUGGUAGUCCACGCCGUAAACGAUGAGUGCUAAGUGUUAGGGGGUUUCCGCCCCUUAGUGCUGCAGCUAACGCAUUAAGCACUCCGCCUGGGGAGUACGGUCGCAAGACUGAAACUCAAAGGAAUUGACGGGGGCCCGCACAAGCGGU
RNAcentral lists this ribosomal RNA (620 nucleotides) under Bacillus pumilus. Its description in RNAcentral is "bacterial SSU rRNA". It matches the Rfam family "Bacterial small subunit ribosomal RNA", at positions 322 to 933 of the family's 1533-position model. Lineage: Bacteria; Bacillati; Bacillota; Bacilli; Caryophanales; Bacillaceae. The record is from RNAcentral.